This 730-nucleotide long non-coding RNA is filed under the name Anas platyrhynchos platyrhynchos (common mallard). Its description in RNAcentral is "lncRNA (ENSAPLG00000018614.1)". Lineage: Eukaryota; Metazoa; Chordata; Aves; Anseriformes; Anatidae. The record is from RNAcentral.
AGGAGGGGAGUUUGCAGGUGGGAGCUGCCUGAAUGCGCUGCUCUGAGCCGCCUGAAGGCUGAUGUGCUGCUCUGUGAGGCUGGAAUCCCCUUAUUUUGUGCCAGAAUCACCUUAUUUUGUGCUAGAACCACCUUAUUUUUUGCUAGAAUCCCCUCAUUUUGUGCCGGAAUCCCUUAUUUUGUGCCAGAACCACCUCAACCAGCGACACCUGGGCCAGUGACACCUCACCCCCCUCAUCCACAGCUCCCUGCCUGCCUCCCCCUGACAUCCCAACGUGUUUUUUUUCCAGGCCCUGGAGCUGGCGGAGCACUUCAGCCCCGAAGAUAUCCGCAAGAUCACCCUGGCCCUGGCCUACCAGAACCGCCGCUGCGUGCCCCUGCUGCGUGCCCUGUCCUACCACCUCCUGCAGAAACACACCGAGCUCGACCUCGCCACCCUGACCGACCUGAUUUUUGCUUAUGGAAAACUGAAUUUCCACCAGCCCCAGGUCUUCCAGAAGCUCGCCACCGACCUGCAGCCCCACGUGGCCAGCAUGACGCCGGGCGAGGUGACGCGCUGCAUCAGGUCCUUCGCCCUCCUCAAGUGGCUCAGCCUCCCCCUCUUCGAGGCCAUCGCGCAGUACGCCCUGGACAACGCCAAGCAGCUCUCGGUCGCCCACCUGUGCAGCAUCAUCCUCUCCUUCGCCCGCCUCAACUUCCAGCCCAGCGGCAGCGAGGAUUUCUUUAACAUG